Molecule: ribosomal RNA, 253 nt
Filed under: uncultured bacterium
Lineage: Bacteria
Description: partial 16S ribosomal RNA
Rfam family: Bacterial small subunit ribosomal RNA
Source: RNAcentral
UACGAAGGGGGCUAGCGUUGCUCGGAAUCACUGGGCGUAAAGCGCACGUAGGCGGAUUCUUAAGUCAGGGGUGAAAUCCUGGAGCUCAACUCCAGAACUGCCUUUGAUACUGAGAAUCUCGAGUUCGGGAGAGGUGAGUGGAACUGCGAGUGUAGAGGUGAAAUUCGUAGAUAUUCGCAAGAACACCAGUGGCGAAGGCGGCUCACUGGCCCGAAACUGACGCUGAGGUGCGAAAGCGUGGGGAGCGAACAGG